RNAcentral lists this ribosomal RNA (608 nucleotides) under Trichoderma asperellum. RNAcentral's name for it is "eukaryotic LSU rRNA". The stretch from base 220 to 373 matches the Rfam family "5.8S ribosomal RNA". The record is from RNAcentral. Lineage: Eukaryota; Fungi; Ascomycota; Sordariomycetes; Hypocreales; Hypocreaceae.
CACAGAUCUCCGUUGGUGACCAGCGGAGGGACAUUACCGAGUUUACAACUCCCAAACCCAAUGUGAACGUUACCAAACUGUUGCCUCGGCGGGGUCACGCCCCGGGUGCGUCGCAGCCCCGGAACCAGGCGCCCGCCGGAGGAACCAACCAAACUCUUUCUGUAGUCCCCUCGCGGACGUAUUUCUUACAGCUCUGAGCAAAAAUUCAAAAUGAAUCAAAACUUUCAACAACGGAUCUCUUGGUUCUGGCAUCGAUGAAGAACGCAGCGAAAUGCGAUAAGUAAUGUGAAUUGCAGAAUUCAGUGAAUCAUCGAAUCUUUGAACGCACAUUGCGCCCGCCAGUAUUCUGGCGGGCAUGCCUGUCCGAGCGUCAUUUCAACCCUCGAACCCCUCCGGGGGAUCGGCGUUGGGGAUCGGGACCCCUCACACGGGUGCCGGCCCCGAAAUACAGUGGCGGUCUCGCCGCAGCCUCUCCUGCGCAGUAGUUUGCACAACUCGCACCGGGAGCGCGGCGCGUCCACGUCCGUAAAACACCCAACUUUCUGAAAUGUUGACCUCGGAUCAGGUAGGAAUACCCGCUGAACUUAAGCAUAUCAAUAAGCGGAGGA